Molecule: ribosomal RNA, 478 nt
Filed under: uncultured bacterium
Lineage: Bacteria
Description: partial 16S ribosomal RNA
Rfam family: Bacterial small subunit ribosomal RNA
Source: RNAcentral
GACGAACGCUGGCGGCGUGCUUAACACAUGCAAGUCGAGCGAUGAAGCUCCUUCGGGAGUGGAUUAGCGGCGGACGGGUGAGUAACACGUGGGUAACCUGCCUCAUAGAGGGGAAUAGCCUUUCGAAAGGAAGAUUAAUGCCGCAUAAGAUUGUAGCUUCGCAUGAAGCAGCAAUUAAAGGAGUAAUCCGCUAUGAGAUGGACCCGCGACGCAUUAGCUAGUUGGUGAGGUAACGGCUCACCAAGGCGACGAUGCGUAGCCGACCUGAGAGGGUGAUCGGCCACAUUGGGACUGAGACACGGCCCAGACUCCUACGGGAGGCAGCAGUGGGGAAUAUUGCACAAUGGGCGAAAGCCUGAUGCAGCAACGCCGCGUGAGUGAUGAAGGCCUUCGGGUUGUAAAGCUCUGUCUUUUGGGACGAUAAUGACGGUACCAAAGGAGGAAGCCACGGCUAACUACGUGCCAGCCGCCGCCGUAA